CUUCGGUUGAUCCCGCCGGACCUGACUGCUAUCGGAUUGGUACUAAGCCAUGCGAGUCGUUGUAGCAAUACAAGGCGGACGGCUCAGUAACACGUAGUCAACCUAACCUAUGGACGUGGAUAACCUCGGGAAACUGAGAAUAAACCGCGAUAGAUCAUUAUGCCUGGAAUGGCUUAUGGUUCAAACAAUUUAUUGCCGUAGGAUGGGACUGCGGCCUAUCAGCUUGUUGGUGAGGUAAUGGCCCACCAAGGCUAUAACAGGUACGGGCUCUGAGAGGAGAAGCCCGGAGAUGGGUACUGAGACACGGACCCAGGCCCUAUGGGGCGCAGCAGGCGAGAAACCUUAGCAAUGUGCGAAAGCACGACUAGGUUAAUCCGAGUGAUUUCUGUUGAAGAAAUCUUUUGUCAGUCGUAAAACCACAGACGAAUAAGGGGUGGGCAAGUCUGGUGUCAGCCGCCGCGGUAAUACCAGCACCUCGAGUGGUCAGGAGGUUUAUUGGGCCUAAAGCAUCCGUAGCCGGCUACGCAAGUCUCCGGUUAAAUCCAGCUGCUCAACAGAUGGGCUGCCGGAGAUACUACAUAGCUAGGGAGCGGGAGAGGUAGACGGUAUUCUGUGGGUAGGGGUAAAAUCCACUGAUCCAUAGAGGACCACCAGUGGCGAAGGCGGUCUACCAGAACGCGUUCGACGGUGAGGGAUGAAAGCUGGGGGAGCGAACCGGAUUAGAUACCCGGGUAGUCCCAGCCGUAAACGAUGCAAGCUAGAUGAUCCGAUCGCAGUUCGCGAUCGGAGUGUCGCAGGGAAGCCGUUAAGCUUGCCGCCUGGGGAGUACGGUCGCAAGGCUGAAACUUAAAGGAAUGGCGGGGGAGCA
Molecule: ribosomal RNA, 868 nt
Filed under: uncultured archaeon
Lineage: Archaea
Description: bacterial SSU rRNA
Rfam family: Archaeal small subunit ribosomal RNA
Source: RNAcentral